AUUUCAUACUUUCAACUUAAUCUCCAUACAAAAAGUGCAAGUCUUAUUCUCGUGGUCGUCGGAGGUUGUGGGUUAGGAGCGGAGUUCGUGGGCUAGGAGCGCGCCAAGUAAGAAUCUACUCGGCACCCAACAAAUUCUCGUGGUCAUCGGAGGUCGUGGGUUAGGAGCGGAGUUUGUGGUUAGGAGCGC
This is a long non-coding RNA of Trifolium pratense (red clover), 189 nucleotides long. RefSeq lists it as uncharacterized. The transcript has 3 exons. Lineage: Eukaryota; Viridiplantae; Streptophyta; Magnoliopsida; Fabales; Fabaceae. The record is from RefSeq and is a predicted model, not a curated record.